GUCACUUAAUUAGGAUGUCAAUUUAGCUUACUGACAGCUUAAAAAUCAAUUGAAAAAAAUGUUGGUUCAAAAUUCAAUUACUAGAGAACAUUAUAUUAACCCAAAAUAUAAGAAGUGUGUAUUUUUUGUUUAAAUAAAAAUUACCUAAUAUAAUUAACAUAUAUAUGAUAUUUAAUGAUUAUGAAUAAUAAAGAUUUGAUUGCAUCCUUCUUCAUUUUUGUUUAAUUUUAUAUUAUUAAAAAAAAU
RNAcentral lists this long non-coding RNA (246 nucleotides) under Brassica napus (rape). RNAcentral describes it as "long non-coding RNA (BNAP_LNC003194)". The record is from RNAcentral. Lineage: Eukaryota; Viridiplantae; Streptophyta; Magnoliopsida; Brassicales; Brassicaceae.